UACGGAGGGGGCGAGCGUUGUUCGGAAUCACUGGGCGUAAAGGGUGCGUAGGCGGGUCUUUAAGUCAGGGGGGAAAUCCUGGAGCUCAACUCCAGAACUGCCUUUGAUACUGAAGAUCUUGAGUUCGGGAGAGGUGAGUGGAACUGCGAGUGUAGAGGUGAAAUUCGUAGAUAUUCGCAAGAACACCAGUGGCGAAGGCGGCUCACUGGCCCGAUACUGACGCUGAGGCACGAAAGCGUGGGGAGCAAACAGG
Molecule: ribosomal RNA, 253 nt
Filed under: uncultured bacterium
Lineage: Bacteria
Description: partial 16S ribosomal RNA
Rfam family: Bacterial small subunit ribosomal RNA
Source: RNAcentral